GAAUUGAAGCUCGUUCGUAAUACAUUAGCAUCCUAAUCUUCGAGAUCAGAUUGACUCGGCGUAAUAGACUAUUCGCUGAGGAUUAUGUUUCAUUAUUAAGCAUAACUGAACUUGAAAAAUUGAAAGCUUAUAAAACCGACUAUUAGUCAAAAACCCUAAGAUUAGACCUCAGAUCAGAUAGGAUUACCCGCUGAACUUAA
RNAcentral lists this unclassified non-coding RNA (200 nucleotides) under soil metagenome. RNAcentral's name for it is "partial contains internal transcribed spacer 2 and large subunit ribosomal RNA". The record is from RNAcentral.